AGUGAACGCUGGCGGUAGGCCUAACACAUGCAAGUCGAACGGCAGCACAGGAGAGCUUGCCCUCUGGGUGGCGAGUGGCGGACGGGUGAGGAAUACAUCGGAAUCUACUCUGUCGUGGGGGAUAACGUAGGGAAACUUACGCUAAUACCGCAUACGACCUACGGGUGAAAGCAGGGGACCUUCGGGCCUUGCGCGAUUGAAUGAGCCGAUGUCGGAUUAGCUAGUUGGCGGGGUAAAGGCCCACCAAGGCGACGAUCCGUAGCUGGUCUGAGAGGAUGAUCAGCCACACUGGAACUGAGACACGGUCCAGACUCCUACGGGAUGCAGCAGUGGGGAAUAUUGGACAAUGGGCGCAAGCCUGAUCCAGCCAUACCGCGUGGGUGAAGAAGGCCUUCGGGUUGUAAAGCCCUUUUGUUGGGAAAGAAAUCCAGCUGGCUAAUACCCGGUUGGGAUGACGGUACCCAAAGAAUAAGCACCGGCUAACUUCGUGCCAGCCGCCGCGGUAA
Molecule: ribosomal RNA, 506 nt
Filed under: uncultured bacterium
Lineage: Bacteria
Description: partial 16S ribosomal RNA
Rfam family: Bacterial small subunit ribosomal RNA
Source: RNAcentral